CUUUCUCCCUUUGACCUGAUGUUGUAAUAAUAAUAAACUUGUCAACUCAUCUCCGACAGCCAAUCCAACCAUAGACCCUAGAAAAAUAGGAGUUUAGAAUUAAAAAAACAACCUUGAUCAGCCAAGGAUAUGGUUGGAUGAAGGCAGAAGCAAGCUCAUAGCAUAGAGAGACACACUAAAAAGAAAAGCAACAAAAACAGAGCGGACAUAGGGCAUGCACCUGUUGUCCAGGAGAGGACCGUGAAAUGUCCAAACAUGGAGGCCAGGCCAUCUCCCUGGAUGCCCGGCUGAGGGCAGCCACAUGUCUGCAGCGGUGGCUUGUGUCCAUGACUGAGAUGGGCAGGGUUUGCAGGCAGUGGUGAUCCCAUCAGCAGUCCCCAGAUCUCUAAUGUCAGGAGAAAGAGCAUGGGAAGUCCGACGUCCAGGAAAGUCCUUCAUCCUGCUUCUCCCUGCCUUGGGCCUUUUCCCAUUUCCGCGGUCACCUGUCCACAAUGGCUGCACUGUGUGGCCCUUCAGGUGUUCCUAAGACACUGAAC
This 536-nucleotide long non-coding RNA is filed under the name Pan troglodytes (chimpanzee). RNAcentral's name for it is "long non-coding RNA NONPTRT000083". The record is from RNAcentral. Lineage: Eukaryota; Metazoa; Chordata; Mammalia; Primates; Hominidae.